AAUCAACGCUGGCGGCGUGCCUCAGACAUGCAAGUCGAACGCGAAAGUCUCCUUCGGGAGACGAGUAGAGUGGCGCACGGGUGAGUAACACGUAGGUUAUCUACCUCCGAGUGGGGAAUAACAGCCGGAAACGGCUGCUAAUACCGCAUAAUACCGAAAGGUCAAAGCUUUAUGUGCUUGGAGAGGAGCCUGCGGCAGAUUAGCUAGUUGGUAAGGUAAUGGCUUACCAAGGCGACGACGGGUAGCCGGCCUGAGAGGGCGACCGGCC
Molecule: ribosomal RNA, 268 nt
Filed under: uncultured bacterium
Lineage: Bacteria
Description: partial 16S ribosomal RNA
Rfam family: Bacterial small subunit ribosomal RNA
Source: RNAcentral